This 1166-nucleotide ribosomal RNA is filed under the name Triticum aestivum (bread wheat). RNAcentral's name for it is "partial small subunit ribosomal RNA". Lineage: Eukaryota; Viridiplantae; Streptophyta; Magnoliopsida; Poales; Poaceae. The record is from RNAcentral.
UAUCAGUCUUUUUUUCUCUGCGAAGCUCUCGCAAGGACUAGCAAAGGGGGACCAAGGCCAAGGUGUUCCGUUAGGGGCUCACGGGAAAGUUAGUGGCGUUGGCGCGUGCUAGUCUUAAGAGCACGGACUCCGCUUGUGGCACUAGAUCGGAAGGUCGGGAAAGCACAGGCCGCCGGAGAGGUGGGGUCAGGGGUCUAAUACAGCUGCGUCAGGUAGAGCGGGCGGAGGCGCAGGCGCGUCAAGGGGAUGGGACGAUCGCGGCGCCGCCGCCGGGGCAGCAUGAAGGGGCACGGGAAGGUGGAGGUCUGAAGCGUCAUGGGAUGGACCGGCUGCCACCGGGGGCGCGUCGGCCGCGGCCGCAUGUUGCGGCAGAUGGGGUACGGGGUUCAGGUCGUCCGUGUUGUUGACAAGGUCUCUCUGAGCGUCUAUUAGUCGGGUCUCCGAGAGCGGUGCCACUUCCGACGAUAACGUCUAUUACUGUUUCUGUUCUUUCAACUUCGUUUGUUUUUCCGUCAAGGAGCUUUCCGUCGACCCGUUACGACCCUCCUAGACUGCAAUCGACUGACCGGACUUUUACUGAAGGCAAACAAAACACCACUAGAACCUUUACUUCACUUACUACUACAAGACUGGUUCUGAAAAAGUUUUAUAGGUAGGAAGUUGUACCGAUUCCAAUAUGCCCUAUUCAGAUGCCCAUUUUGAUUUCCGAUGCCCAAACAAUCAAAACGGUUACGUAGUCUAGAACGUCGUCGUGACUUUCUCUACUUGCCAUUUAUACAACCUUUAGCUGGUUAGUUCGAUGCCUUCUCGUGUACCUUCUUAUCUUAUCUAAUGCUUCGAAACGACUUCGGCUUCUGAGCCGGUGUCUUCUUCGAGUUUCACGUCGGUUCUUCACAAAAUGUGUUCACUUCGUUUAUUAAGAGGAACAAACAGUAGUGUCAUAGCUGUUACUACACGUUACGCGUAUAAGUUGUCAACUACAUUCGGAAAUCGUAACGGGCACAGUCACGUAAGGUCAAAUACUAACAUUACAUCCACAUUUAUAGGUUUACUGAUCAUAGAAACACCUGUAGUUGAUACAUAAAACUACUUACUAACUACCGUUUGCGAUACCUAACAAGAGCGAUCUCUUAUUAAACAAACCCUUUGUAAAAAACGAUGUUGUC